GGGGUUGUGGCUCAAUGGUAAAGCACUCGACUAGCACUUGUGAGGCCCUGGGUUAGAUCCUCAGCACCA
This 69-nucleotide transfer RNA is filed under the name Ictidomys tridecemlineatus (thirteen-lined ground squirrel). RNAcentral describes it as "Spermophilus tridecemlineatus (thirteen-lined ground squirrel) tRNA". It matches the Rfam family "tRNA". From Rfam's summary of the family: Transfer RNA (tRNA) molecules are approximately 80 nucleotides in length. The record is from Rfam by way of RNAcentral. Lineage: Eukaryota; Metazoa; Chordata; Mammalia; Rodentia; Sciuridae.